AAUGAUAUGGAAGAGGGACCUGCUAAUGAUAUGGUAGAAGGACCUGAGAAUGAAACGGAAGAGGGACCUGGUAAUGUUGUUGAAGGACUUGCAAAUGAGGUUAAAGAGGUUUCUGCAGAUGGUGUUGAAGGGUUUGAAGUGGUAACUACAAGUCAUGUUGAAGAGAGAACACCAAAUCAGAUUGAAGAAGGAACCUCAAAAGAGGUUGGAGAUGUCGAAGUAGAGAUUGAUUAAUUUGUUGCUCACAUUUUUCCUUCUUUCCCUUUCACUAAUCCAGAAGCAGAAGCGGCAAAUGAUGAUGAAGGCACUGGGCAAAUGGCCUGUGAACCUUGCAUGCCAGACUAGCUUUAGAGCAGGAGAAGCAGAAAUGAGUUAUGAACUGGGUGUGAGCUUGUGUUCUAUGAAGUAAUUUUAUGAUUUUGAUUUGGGAUAGUGGGACUUUGGUUGGUAACAUCAUUCAAUCAUUUUGCCCAUGGACGAUAGACCCCGUGGGUUUUUGAUCAAAGAAAGAGAUGUGUUUUAUUCAGGGAAUUGUUCAAUUUUUGUAUGUAAAAAGUAAAGCUGCAUAGAUUUUACUCAUUUGUGUUAAAACUGUUAAUAAUAGGCAGACCGUCGUCUUAGAUUUGUAAAAUAUCAGUCAGAUUAUUGUGACAUUUGAUCCGUUUUUCGCAGGAGAUAAAUGUCUUUCCAUAGGUGUUCUAGACAAUGGUAGAUUCUAAAUUAUGAAUCAGAAAAGGAAAAAUGCUGAGUGUUGGGUUUUCAUUGUUUUCUGUUUUUACUUGAAGCAGCUUUAGAUGUUAAUUUGCGGCCCUCUCUCUUAAUUCUUAAAUCUCAACACAACAAAUCUGAUAAUAAACAAUGUUGAACGGGUGAUCCGCAAUUAGGCAAGAUACAUGCUCGUAAUGAAAACCUGUCCAUCUCUACUAUUAUAAAACUAUUAUAAAACGUGUAUUCUAAAUUAUCAAUUUAUGUUCUGAUAAAAUUACUUUAUUAAGUUGAUU
This 1001-nucleotide long non-coding RNA is filed under the name Fragaria vesca (wild strawberry). RNAcentral describes it as "long non-coding RNA (FVES_LNC002076)". Lineage: Eukaryota; Viridiplantae; Streptophyta; Magnoliopsida; Rosales; Rosaceae. The record is from RNAcentral.